Molecule: non-coding RNA, 95 nt
Organism: Xylaria venustula
Lineage: Eukaryota; Fungi; Ascomycota; Sordariomycetes; Xylariales; Xylariaceae
Source: the annotation of a GenBank genome assembly
UCCGAAUUGGUGUAGUGGCUAACAUUUGACGCUCUCAUAAUCGUCUAACGAUAGAAGGAACCGUCAAGCCCGGGGUUCGAUUCCCCGAUUCGGAG